AAUUUACAAGAAACCAUUGCCUCCUCCAAUUCCAAUAUUUAAGAAGCCACUUCCUCCCCCCAUUCCAAUAUUCAAGAAACCACUUCCACCUCCUAUUCCAAUUUAUAAGAAACCAUUGCCACCCCCAAUCCCAAUAUUUAAGAAACCACUUCCUCCUCCUAUUCCAAUAUUUAAGAAACCUAAACCACCAAUAUUCUAUAAGCCUCUCCCUCCCUUCUCAAAGAUCCCUCCAUUUCAUCAUAAGAAGCCAUUCCCUCCUCUUCCCAAGUUUCCUCCAAAUUAAGUACUUCCCCCACUUCUAGUUAUCCCUUGUCACCCUUUUCUUCUGGUCAUUUAUAUGUUAUAUAUUCUG
This 352-nucleotide unclassified non-coding RNA is filed under the name Hevea brasiliensis (rubber tree). The record is from RNAcentral. Lineage: Eukaryota; Viridiplantae; Streptophyta; Magnoliopsida; Malpighiales; Euphorbiaceae.